Small nuclear RNA from Suncus etruscus (white-toothed pygmy shrew), 160 nucleotides. RefSeq annotates it as U1 spliceosomal RNA. The record is from RefSeq and is a predicted model, not a curated record. Lineage: Eukaryota; Metazoa; Chordata; Mammalia; Eulipotyphla; Soricidae. The transcript has a single exon.
AAAAAUACCUGGCAGGAGAGAUGCCAUGAUCAUGAAAGUGGUUUUCCCAAUGGUCUUAUCCAUUGCACUUUGGCCGUGCUGAAACCUACAAUGGCCCCAAAUGCGGAAAUUUGACUGCAUAAUUUGUGGUAGUGGGGGGACUGUAUUUUUCUCUACCCUA